GAUUUCUGAUACGGUAUGUCUAGCCCGCCACGGUUACGUGUGUGAGUGCUGGAAUGUUACCGAUCAUCCGUUCUAGAUCACUCUCCUACUCUUCAUUGAGCCGGGAAUCGGUGCUAUCUAGAUCUUUUACUUUGAAAAAAUUAGAGUGUUUCAAGCAGGCUUUAUGCUAUGAAUACAUUAGCAUGGAAUAAUAAUUUAGGACUUCGGUUCUAUUUUGUUGGUUUCUAGGACUGAAGUAAUGAUUGAUAGGGAUAGUUGGGGGUGCUAGUAUUCAGCGGCCAGAGGUGAAAUUCUCGGAUUCGCUGAAGACUAACUUAUGCGAAAGCAUU
RNAcentral lists this ribosomal RNA (329 nucleotides) under Glissomonadida sp. RNAcentral's name for it is "SSU rRNA". The stretch from base 53 to 329 matches the Rfam family "Eukaryotic small subunit ribosomal RNA", at positions 678 to 955 of the family's 1831-position model. The record is from RNAcentral. Lineage: Eukaryota; Cercozoa; Glissomonadida.